AAAAUGAUAUAAAAACACCAAAAAAAUAUAUUAAUUUUAAGUAAAGAAAAAAAUAAAAAAAAUUUAAUUUUUUUUAAAAGCGUUUUUGAAACGCAAAAACAAACAGAGCAUUAGACACCUUUGAGAAUAUGAUCCAAACCAUGUUUCAUACAAGUUUAAUUUUUUUUAUUUAAAUUUUUUUAUAUAUAUUUUAAGAUCUUUUUAAUAUGCCGAUGUUAAAAAUAAUUUUUUUAAAAAAUAUAUAUAUAUUAUUUUAACGUAUUUUUAAAUAAAAAACACUUUAAAAAUAAUCAUUACUACACUCUCAAACACCCUCCUUUAUCUUCACCCCUCGUAUGCCCAGACACAAUCCUAAUAUGAUCCUUGAGAGCAUGGUUUUGAAACCUGGAUCGGCCCAGCGGGUCAACCCGGGUAUGAAACCGGUCCGGGUCUAAGCAAAAACUCGCCUGGAAGUUGGUCCGGUGAAACCCAGUCGACCCGAGGGGUCGACCCGAGACCCGGCCGACCCGGGUAAACCCGGCUGAGACCCGGCUUAUUUUUCGUACUUUUUCACCACAACUUUGUAGAAGUACCAACAAAUGUAGAGGUCAUUCCAUGCUCUGCAUAUGCUAUAUUAACCAUUGAACAACAAAAAAGAGAAAAUAAAAAAACCUUUAGAGAAAUCCUCUGUAUAAAACCCAUCUUUUCAAUCUUCAAAGUUCAAAGCUAUAUCACUAUCAGUUGCAAUUCGCGAAGAAGAGCAGAGGAGCAAAAGACUUCAAGGCAACCCAUACCGGUUCAGAUCUGCGAGCAGAGUAGAUAAUCCUUCCUCCAGCUUCUCAUGACUCUCCUUCUUUCUCUUGCUCUCUCUAUUACAUUGUUCAUGCCGAUUAUGAUCUCUUAAACCACAAACAAACGGUGAAGACGAAACAAUCUCGAUCUGGGAAGAAGCCAUAAGUCUAAUAAUGAGACAUCACGACAUAGAAUAAAGUAAAUGCAACAAUUUUAUGCAUACCAUAAACGAGAUACAACCCAUUUUUCCAGAAAAAAAAGGAUGUAUGGGGGCAGGGAAAACCCAAGCGGUAAUUGUGGACCACAAAGAAACGUAUGAAUCUUGUUUUCAGGAUGCUAAACUAACCAGGGUUAGUAACCGGUGGUUAGUAACCACCACCAGCAAUAUAAGUCAUGCCUUGGCUUUUAUUUUCUAAUUUUAGGACUUUAUUGUAGAAAACUGUUGUGUUGCCUUAAAAACGAAUGGCAUGCCUU
This 1245-nucleotide long non-coding RNA is filed under the name Populus trichocarpa (black cottonwood). RNAcentral describes it as "long non-coding RNA (PTRI_LNC000218)". Lineage: Eukaryota; Viridiplantae; Streptophyta; Magnoliopsida; Malpighiales; Salicaceae. The record is from RNAcentral.